This 253-nucleotide ribosomal RNA is filed under the name uncultured bacterium. RNAcentral describes it as "partial 16S ribosomal RNA". It matches the Rfam family "Bacterial small subunit ribosomal RNA", at positions 524 to 776 of the family's 1533-position model. The record is from RNAcentral.
UACGGAGGGUGCUAGCGUUGUUCGGAAUCACUGGGCGUAAAGGGCGUGUAGGCGGUCUGUUAAGUCUGAUGUGAAAUCCCCUCGCUCAACGAGGGAACUGCGUCGGAUACUGGCAGACUCGAGUACCGGAGAGGAAGGUGGAAUUCCCGGUGUAGCGGUGAAAUGCGUAGAUAUGCGGAGGAACACCGAUGGCGAAGGCAAUCCCCUGGGCCUGCACUGACGCUCAUGCACGAAAGCGUGGGGAGCAAACAGG